UGCUACUACCAAACCCUCUUUCUUUGAGUCUUUACAAUUCGUAAUUCUAUGUUGCUCAUGUAUUGAUUGCUCUGGCCUGAUGAGUGAGCUCGUCUUAAACUUUGAUACUUUUAUGGUUUGCACUCUGCGACACAAAGAAAGAAUGACCAGGCGUAGAGAAGAAUUAGCAUAGCGAUAUUCCUAUGCAAUCAAGUGUAGGAACUAAUGAAAACGAAUAAUCUCUCGUGAUUCACUCUUUGCUUACCUUCCCCUCGGUUGGAUGAAAUGGCUGCC
Molecule: long non-coding RNA, 273 nt
Organism: Arabidopsis thaliana (thale cress)
Lineage: Eukaryota; Viridiplantae; Streptophyta; Magnoliopsida; Brassicales; Brassicaceae
Product: other RNA
Exons: 1
Source: RefSeq